UUUAUUAUAAUAAAGCGUUUUAUUUUCAUUAAUUUAAUAAAAUACAUUAGAUCGUCUAUAAUGUGUGAAAUAAAAUUUUUAAAAAGCACUAAAAAAAAAAAAUCAUUUUUUUAGAUCUGAUAUAUAAACAUUUGCUACUUCCGAGCUUUACAGAAGCUUGCAAAACAUUGGAAUGUUUAUUUGUUACUGUUUCAUAACUUCAUUCAUUUGAAUGAAAUGUGUACUGUACACAUUUGUAACUAUAUGUUAUAGGGGAAAAAAAGUUUUUAGUAAGGUAAUGAAAAAAGUAUGUACAAAUCUAGUGGUAACAUUAAACUGAUGAUAUGUGGCAGGUCUGUGCACACCCCCCCCCCCCCA
This is a non-coding RNA of Biomphalaria pfeifferi, 357 nucleotides long. NCBI's taxonomy places the organism in Eukaryota, Metazoa, Mollusca, Gastropoda, Planorbidae. The record is from the annotation of a GenBank genome assembly.